Molecule: ribosomal RNA, 440 nt
Filed under: uncultured bacterium
Lineage: Bacteria
Description: partial 16S ribosomal RNA
Rfam family: Bacterial small subunit ribosomal RNA
Source: RNAcentral
CCUACGGGAGGCUGCAGUAGGGAAUAUUGCUCAAUGGGGGAAACCCUGAAGCAGCGACGCCGCGUGGAGGAUGAAGGUUUUCGGAUUGUAAACUCCUUUUGUUAGAGAAGAUAAUGACGGUAUCUAACGAAUAAGCACCGACUAACACCGUGCCAGCAGCCGCGGUAAUACGGAGGGUGCAAGGGUUACUCGGAAUCACUGGGCGUAAAGAGAGCGUAGGCGGGAUAGCAAGUCAGAUGUGAAAUCCUAUGGCUUAACCAUAGAACUGCAUUUGAAACUGUUAUUCUAGAGUAUGGGAGAGGUAGGUGGAAUUCUUGGUGUAGGGGUAAAAUCCGUAGAGAUCAAGAGGAAUACUCAUUGCGAAGGCGACCUGCUAGAACAUAACUGACGCUGAGGCGCGAAAGCGUGGGGAGCAAACAGGAUUAGAUACCCCUGUAGUC